RNAcentral lists this ribosomal RNA (527 nucleotides) under uncultured bacterium. Its description in RNAcentral is "bacterial SSU rRNA". It matches the Rfam family "Bacterial small subunit ribosomal RNA", at positions 777 to 1302 of the family's 1533-position model. The record is from RNAcentral.
AAUAGAUACCCAGGUAGUCCACGCCGUAAACGAUGAGUGCUAAGUGUUAGAGGGUUUCCGCCCUUUAGUGCUGCAGCUAACGCAUUAAGCACUCCGCCUGGGGAGUACGGUCGCAAGACUGAAACUCAAAGGAAUUGACGGGGGCCCGCACAAGCGGUGGAGCAUGUGGUUUAAUUCGAAGCAACGCGAAGAACCUUACCAGGUCUUGACAUCCUCUGACAACUCUAGAGAUAGAGCGUUCCCCUUCGGGGGACAGAGUGACAGGUGGUGCAUGGUUGUCGUCAGCUCGUGUCGUGAGAUGUUGGGUUAAGUCCCGCAACGAGCGCAACCCUUGAUCUUAGUUGCCAGCAUUCAGUUGGGCACUCUAAGGUGACUGCCGGUGACAAACCGGAGGAAGGUGGGGAUGACGUCAAAUCAUCAUGCCCCUUAUGACCUGGGCUACACACGUGCUACAAUGGAUGGUACAAAGGGCUGCAAGACCGCGAGGUCAAGCCAAUCCCAUAAAACCAUUCUCAGUUCGGAUUGGU